CUAUGAUUAAGAGACCACUGAGAGCAGAAGAGGAGACUAACGCUGGACGCUCGUUGACUGGGAUUCCUCACAAAGAACCACCACAUAGCUACCCAUGAGGUAGCAGCUAGCUUCAAGUGGCUGGGCCUUUGUGCCGUGAUAUCGACGCUGUGAAUAUCAAAAAGCAACCAUGCCGGCUGCCAUAAGAGUAUCAGUGAAUCCUCCAUCUGAUCAGUGGGUUGAGUGUGUGCCUGCAGUUGAUUCACAUCAGCCAGAUUAUCCCGAGGAGAAGCAGAAUGACAUCAUUCACAGUAUCGAACAGCUGAAUGACAAAGUUGAUGCACUGCAUCCUUGGACCAUCCUUGAAAGUGUCGGUUCCCAGACAUACCAAGAGAGAGAACAAUGUGAACGCUGCUGACAAGAUUAUCCGAAGGUUGGCCAGCUCUA
Molecule: long non-coding RNA, 426 nt
Organism: Thalassophryne amazonica
Lineage: Eukaryota; Metazoa; Chordata; Actinopteri; Batrachoidiformes; Batrachoididae
Exons: 3
Source: RefSeq, a predicted model, not a curated record